AACACAUGCAAGUCGAGCGGUAACAGAAAUUAGCUUGCUAAUUUGCUGACGAGCGGCGGACGGGUGAGUAAUGCCUGGGAAUAUGCCUUAGUGUGGGGGAUAACUAUUGGAAACGAUAGCUAAUACCGCAUAAUGUCUUCGGACCAAAGAGGGGGACCUUCGGGCCUCUCGCGCUAAGAUUAGCCCAGGUGAGAUUAGCUAGUUGGUGAGGUAAGAGCUCACCAAGGCGACGAUCUCUAGCUGGUCUGAGAGGAUGAUCAGCCACACUGGAACUGAGACACGGUCCAGACUCCUACGGGAGGCAGCAGUGGGGAAUAUUGCACAAUGGGCGAAAGCCUGAUGCAGCCAUGCCGCGUGUAUGAAGAAGGCCUUCGGGUUGUAAAGUACUUUCAGUCGUGAGGAAGGGUGUGUAGUUAAUAGCUGCAUAUCUUGACGUUAGCGACAGAAGAAGCACCGGCUAACUCCGUGCCAGCAGCCGCGGUAAUACGGAGGGUGCGAGCGUUAAUCGGAAUUACUGGGCGUAAAGCGCAUGCAGGUGGUUCAUUAAGUCAGAUGUGAAAGCCCGGGGCUCAACCUCGGAACCGCAUUUGAAACUGGUGAACUAGAGUGCUGUAGAGGGGGGUAGAAUUUCAGUGUAGCGGUGAAAUGCGUAGAGAUCUGAAGGAAUACCAGUGGCGAAGCGGCCCCCUGGACAGACACUGACACUCAAUGCGAAAGCGUGGGAGCAACAGGAUUAGAUACCCUGGUAGUCCACGCCGUAACGAUGUCUACUUG
Molecule: ribosomal RNA, 774 nt
Filed under: uncultured Vibrio sp.
Lineage: Bacteria; Pseudomonadati; Pseudomonadota; Gammaproteobacteria; Vibrionales; Vibrionaceae
Description: bacterial SSU rRNA
Rfam family: Bacterial small subunit ribosomal RNA
Source: RNAcentral